GCCUGGGUGGCUCAGUAGGUUGGGCAUCUGACUUCAGCUCAGGUCAUGAUCUCACAGCUCGUGGGUUUGAGCCCUGCAUCGGGCU
Transfer RNA from Felis catus (domestic cat), 85 nucleotides. It matches the Rfam family "tRNA". Rfam says of the family: Transfer RNA (tRNA) molecules are approximately 80 nucleotides in length. Their secondary structure includes four short double-helical elements and three loops (D, anti-codon, and T loops). Further hydrogen bonds mediate the characteristic L-shaped molecular structure. tRNAs have two regions of fundamental functional importance: the anti-codon, which is responsible for specific mRNA codon recognition, and the 3' end, to which the tRNAs corresponding amino acid is attached (by aminoacyl-tRNA synthetases). tRNAs cope with the degeneracy of the genetic code in two manners: having more than one tRNA (with a specific anti-codon) for a particular amino acid; and 'wobble' base-pairing, i.e. permitting non-standard base-pairing at the 3rd anti-codon position. NCBI's taxonomy places the organism in Eukaryota, Metazoa, Chordata, Mammalia, Carnivora, Felidae. The record is from Rfam.